GGACACAGUUACCAUGCUGCUCUGUCCAGGUUUGCCUCGUCAGCAGGUCUAGCCCACUGGCUUCUAUUUGUCUAUUAAAUUCAACGUCACGUUGCGUGUUUCUGGAUAUAUUGAAGCCAGGUCUAACACGGUCAACAGAGUCUGUGAUCUAACAGCAGCUUACCCUCCUGGUCUGGGUCGGCCUCCUCCUGCACGGACAGAGGUAGAGGAAUGAAGUACAGACAGCAAAGCAGCGGAAAGAGAACACCGUUUCCACCACGGACAUUACGAUGAGCGGCACCCACAGAAUGAACAUGGUCCCCUGGUUGACAAAAAAAAUAAAAAUAAAAUAAAGACGACA
This is a long non-coding RNA of Perca fluviatilis (European perch), 340 nucleotides long. RefSeq lists it as uncharacterized. NCBI's taxonomy places the organism in Eukaryota, Metazoa, Chordata, Actinopteri, Perciformes, Percidae. The transcript has 2 exons. The record is from RefSeq and is a predicted model, not a curated record.